UACCUGGUUGAUCCUGCCAGUAAUCAUAUGCUUGUCUCAAAGAUUAAGCCAUGCAUGUCUAAGUACAUGCCGAAAUAAGGCGAAACCGCGAAUGGCUCAUUAAAUCAGUUAUGGUUCCUUAGAUCGUUUCUUCCUACUUGGAUAACUGUGGCAAUUCUAGAGCUAAUACAUGCAGUGAGCCUGAAGCCCUUUGGGCGACGGGUGCUUUUAUUAGACCAAGAUCGAUCGGGUUUCGGCCCGUAUUGUGUGGUGACUCUGGAUAACUUUGUGCUGAUCGCAUGGCCACGAGCCGGCGACGUUUCUUUCAAGUGUCUGCCUUAUCAACUUUCGAUGGUAGGUUACUUGCUUACCAUGGUUGUUACGGGUAACGGAGAAUCAGGGUUCGAUUCCGGAGAGGGAGCCUGAGAAACGGCUACCACAUCCAAGGAAGGCAGCAGGGCGCGCAAAUUACCCACUCCCGGCACGGGGAGGUAGUGACGAAAAAUAACAAUACGGGACUCUUUUGAGGCCCCGUAAUUGAAAUGAGUACACUCUAAAUCCUUUAACGAGGAUCAAUUGGAGGGCAAGUCUGGUGCCAGCAGCCGCGGUAAUUCCAGCUCCAAUAGCGUAUACUAAAGCUGCUGCGGUUAAAAAGCUCGUAGUUGGAUCUCAGUUCCAGACGAGUAGUGCAUCUACCCGAUGCGACGGCUCGGACUGAACAUCAUGCCGGUCCUUUCUUGGUGCACUUCAUUGUGUGCCUCGAGAAGGCCGGUGCUUUUACUUUGAAAAAAUUAGAGUGCUCAACGCAGGCGAGUCGCCUGAAUAAACUUGCAUGGAAUAAUAGAACAAGACCUCGUUUCUGUUCUGUUGGUUUUUGGAAUACGAGGUAAUGAUUAAGAGGGACAGACGGGGGCAUUCGUAUUGCGGCGCUAGAGGUGAAAUUCUUGGACCGUCGCAAGACGAACUACUGCGAAAGCAUUUGCCAAGAAUGUUUUCUUUGAUCAAGAACGAAAGUCAGAGGUUCGAAGGCGAUCAGAUACCGCCCUAGUUCUGACCAUAAACGAUGCCAACCAGCGAUCCGCCUGAGUUACUCAAAUGACUCGGCGGGCAGCUUCCGGGAAACCAAAGUGUUUGGGUUCCGGGGGAAGUAUGGUUUGCAAAGCUGAAACUUAAAGGAAUUGACGGAAGGGCACCACCAGGAGUGGAGCCUGCGGCUUAAUUUGACUCAACACGGGAAAACUUACCCGGCCCGGACACUGGGAGGAUUGACAGAUUGAGAGCUCUUUCUUGAUUCGGUGGAUGGUGGUGCAUGGCCGUUCUUAGUUGGUGGAGCGAUUUGUCUGGUUAAUUCCGAUAACGAACGAGACUCUAGCCUAUUAAAUAGGUGCGGGGUUCCCAGCACCUUACAACCUUCUUAGAGGGACAAGCGGCUCCUAGCCGCACGAAACAGAGCAAUAACAGGUCUGUGAUGCCCUUAGAUGUCCGGGGCCGCACGCGCGCUACACUGAAGGAAGCAGCGUGUCUUUAUCCCUGUCUGAAAGGACUGGGUAACCCGUGGAACUUCUUUCGUGAUUGGGAUAGGGGCUUGCAAUUGUUCCCCUUGAACGAGGAAUUCCCAGUAAGCGCGAGUCAUAAGCUCGCGUUGAUUACGUCCCUGCCCUUUGUACACACCGCCCGUCGCUACUACCGAUUGAAUGAUUUAGUGAGGUCUUCGGACCGAUGUCCGGCGCGGCCUUUCGGUUGCGCCGGUCUGUUGGAAAGAUGACCAAACUUGAUCAUUUAGAGGAAGUAAAAGUCGUAACAAGGUUUCCGUAGGUGAACCUGCGGAAGGAUC
RNAcentral lists this ribosomal RNA (1813 nucleotides) under Dermacentor andersoni. Its description in RNAcentral is "small subunit ribosomal RNA". It matches the Rfam family "Eukaryotic small subunit ribosomal RNA". The record is from RNAcentral. Lineage: Eukaryota; Metazoa; Arthropoda; Arachnida; Ixodida; Ixodidae.